Panicum virgatum (switchgrass) is the source of this 1206-nucleotide long non-coding RNA. RefSeq lists it as uncharacterized. The record is from RefSeq and is a predicted model, not a curated record. Lineage: Eukaryota; Viridiplantae; Streptophyta; Magnoliopsida; Poales; Poaceae. The transcript has 3 exons.
CCCCAUCUUUUCUUUUCUCUUCUUCUUUUCCUAUAUUCCAUCCUGUUGAACCUAGCUUUUGUCAGCAACAGGAUAGAUGGUUGCAACGGUCAAGCAUAGACAGCCACUGAUGAUGUUGGGAUUUCUAGCUUCAGGAUCAUGCUUCUCCGGUUACUGCAUUUCUGAUGGGAGUAUCAAGAGGCGAGCUCUGGUGUCUUUGCCCAUGCAGCGACUAACAGAUGAUCUAGAGAGGCAUGAAUCAUGAUGCUUGGUGUCCUGAACGUACAUACAGCCUAUGUGUUGCUGAUCCUGAAAGAGCUAAUUGGAUGGUAUCUCAAGCUCAAGAUCCUGAUAUGGUUGCAGGCCGAUCUUGAGAUCUCUAAAAUAUUGUAUACAAAAGGGAUCCUGGGGUGUUGUUGGGACAGAAAAGAGCAGCACCAAAGAUUCAAAGUAUGAUCAUCCCGACGAUCACUAGCAAGCUAUCUGCGCUUUCACAAACUAUCAGGGUACUUAAAGUGGCAGUAGGCCUGCCGUUCUAGCGCUGCUGCCUCUUUUUCAGCUUAAAAACAGUCCUGAGGACAACCAAACCAAUUUUCAGAGGCCAUUGGCAGCUAGGAGUAGAGAAACAAUCAGCCAAUGGCACGGCAAACUGUCCACUAUCCAAGCACAUUUGCACUACACUAGCAUGCAAAUGUCAGUAAGCAAAUCCAGGCUACAUUCAGAGGCCAUGAGCCUACUGAAGAACCUAGAACAGUUUAAACAAAAACCAUGCCUAGUGACACCUUUUCUGAAUUCAUAACCCCACACUGUUUACUACUUAAUAUCGGCCUCGGUGUUCGUGUGCGUGGUUCGCUCGGGCUAGUGGAGCUCACAUGAGCCGCCAAUAAACUAGCUCAUCAGCUCUCGGCCCCAAAAAGCCAUGGCAGGGCCGCGAGCUUAAACAAAAGGCGCGAGCUCCAGAAACAAUAGAUUCUUCUCAUGGGAUGCGUCCCUCUCUCGAAGGCCGAGGCCCGGGAGGGGGGCAGGAUGGAGGUAUUAAAACUCGGAACCCUGCAUCGCCUAGAGCCAAAUCUCCUGUGUCUUUGACUUGCGAGCUGUGCUCCCAACUGUCUUUGACGAGCCGUGCCUCUAUAUAUCCCACACACGGUUGCCACACACGCUUGCAGAUGCGAGGAGGUAGGUGAGGCCGUGAGGACGAGUACAGGCGAGAACCAGCAGGAGAGCAUG